Molecule: ribosomal RNA, 229 nt
Filed under: Curtobacterium luteum
Lineage: Bacteria; Bacillati; Actinomycetota; Actinomycetes; Micrococcales; Microbacteriaceae
Description: partial 16S ribosomal RNA
Rfam family: Bacterial small subunit ribosomal RNA
Source: RNAcentral
AGGCGAGGACGGGUAGCCGGCCUGAGAGGGUGACCGGACCACACUGGGACUGAGACACGGCCCAAACUCCUACGGGAGGCAGCAGUGGGGAAUAUUGCACAAUGGGCGAAAGCCUGAUGCAGCAACGCCGCGUGAGGGAUGACGGCCUUCGGGUUGUAAACCUCUUUUAGUAGGGAAGAAGCGAGAGUGACGGUACCUGCAGAAAAAGCACCGGCUAACUACGUGCCAG